RNAcentral lists this long non-coding RNA (202 nucleotides) under Homo sapiens (human). RNAcentral describes it as "LHRI_LNC1805.1". The record is from RNAcentral. Lineage: Eukaryota; Metazoa; Chordata; Mammalia; Primates; Hominidae.
GGGGUCAGGGGCUAAAAGCAUGUGUGGGAGAAAUGUAAGUUCUCCUUAUAGAACGUAGCCUUUUUGUAGCCCUGUUCAACACAGUCCUACACCAGGCAGCAGGCCCCGAACAAGAGUAGGUCUUGAUGCUCUAGCAGAUCACUUCCUCCAGCCAGUGUGGUAUAGAGAGGAGGCUACUGAGGGCCUCACUAAUACACAGGAG